GCCCCAUUUUACAGAAGAGGAAACGGAGGCGCAGAGAGAAGAAAUAACUUGCUGAGGGUCCGAACCAGGCUCAGAACCCAGGUUUCCUGGCUCCUCAGCUGAUCCCUUCUCUCCUCCCCAUGCCCCGGAACCUCAGGCUUUGCCUAAUGAACUGAAGUUCUGGGGCUAGAGCUGUCCUUUUGUGACUGCUCUCCCUGACCUUUGGGGAGGUGACAUAGCGCACAGAAGGGCUCAGUUGCCCCCAGAGUGCCAACGCUGGAAUUUAUAGGAGUUCUCAAUCUAUUUUGGGAGUGGAGUGCACAUUAGGAGUUUUGUGUUGAACCUAUGUUUGCAAUAUUUAUUUUAAAAAAUCGUAUGUGUAUUGGGGGUGCCUGGAAGUGGAGGGGGCGCUCUGGAAGGGCCUAAAUCCCCGAACAGUCCACCCCUCAGUGCCUGGGUGCCACCUGGGAGCUUUGAGCCCAGCCCAGCAAGGUAUGGGUUGCAAGAACUGGCUGGGGAUAUAGUAGAUUGAGCAUCUCUUGGGGGAAAGGCAGAGGCUAAGAAUCAAUACUUCCACCACCUGCAGAUCAAAGAGAGCAUCACUCCCCCCAACCCACUACCCACCCCUUCCAGCCCACCUUAGGGCAAAUUCUUCCAACUCCCCAUCUACAGCACAUAGCCCUGCCACACGCAUCUCUUUGCUCAGCCCACCGUUGAGAUCGUUCACUCACUAUGCUUUCAGUGGUCGAAUGAAUUCCAUCAAAUGGAUAUGCUGUUAUUUACUUAUUCAUUCCCCUACUGGUAAUUUCCAUUUCCCAACUGCAAUGUAUGAGGAUUCUGAUUUCUCCACAUCCUCACCAAUGCUUGUUAUUGUUGAUUUUUUUUUUUUUAAGUAUAGUAACCCAGCGUGGAGUGGUGUCUUGUGAUUUUAUUUGCACUUCCCUGACGUUCGGCAUCUUUUCAUGUGCUUUUUGCCUAUUUGUGUACCUUCUCUGGAGAAAUGUCUAUUCAAAUCCUUUAUCCAUUUUUAAAUUGUCUUUAUUAUUGAGUUGUAAGAGUUCUUUAUAUGCUCUGGUUACAAGCCCCUUAUCAGAUACUUGAUUUGCAAAAGUUUUUUUCCCAUUAUGUGGCUUGUCUUUUCACUUUCUUAGUGGUAUCAUUUGUAGCACCAAAGUUUUACAUUUUUAUGUAAUCCAAUAUAAUCUAUUUUUUAGUUAUGUACGGGUUUUUUGUGUCAACAUGUUUCUUUUUUUCAAAUUUGUUUGUGGUAAAAUACAUAUAAUGUAAAAUUGAUCAUUAAGCAUUUUAAGUGUAUUGUUCAGUGGUAUUAACUACAUUCCUAAUGCUAUGCAGCCAUCACCACCAUCCAUCUCCACAGCUC
Molecule: long non-coding RNA, 1360 nt
Filed under: Homo sapiens (human)
Lineage: Eukaryota; Metazoa; Chordata; Mammalia; Primates; Hominidae
Description: long non-coding RNA NONHSAT155945.1
Source: RNAcentral